RNAcentral lists this long non-coding RNA (964 nucleotides) under Monodelphis domestica (gray short-tailed opossum). RNAcentral describes it as "lncRNA (ENSMODG00000031554.2)". Lineage: Eukaryota; Metazoa; Chordata; Mammalia; Didelphimorphia; Didelphidae. The record is from RNAcentral.
UGUAGACAUUUGGUCUAGGAGGCACUCUAAUAGUUCUUCUCUCCCACACUUUCUUUAGGAACUUCCCAAACAAUGAGCUAGAUCUGGCAAUGCAUGUACCAACCUCUUCAUCUAUGUGGACAUCCCUAGAAAGUAGACUGCCAAAGUAAGAAUAUUGAUGCCCAGAGGAAUGGAGCAGUUGUCCAAGUUGCACAAGGUCCGGUGCCACCUCUCUGUCCCAAAGGAAUCAAGGACUUGAGUUCAAAUUCAAGCUCUUCUUUGAAUUAUUUGUGUGACGUUGGAAAAAUCUCUGCCUCUCUAGGCCACCAUUUCCACCUCCAAAAUGGGAGGAGUUUCACUUAUGUGAAGACUGAUGUCCCUUCUUACCCUAAAUCUACUGUGGUCAUAUGAAUUGUUACUAUACUGGAUUUCAUAUUACAGUAAGAACAUAAUAUAAAAGCUAUGGAGGAGACCCUAUGGAUUUGGAAGUUGUUACCUAAAAGGAUGAAUUUUCUGUACCAACCAAACUGGUUUGAUACCUUUCUUUCUCCUAAUCAACAGUGAAACAACUCUUCACUUGGCCAGAGGAAAUGCGGUCUGGAAAGAGCUGGCUGUGGAGCUCAGAAGACUCCCUUAACUAAGAACAAACUAAGGGUCACUAAGGAAAGAUUUUACAGUCCCUCAUGAGUAGGAAGAGGACUCAGUAAUGUUCUGACUGUGGCGAAGAUGACUCAAGUCUACAUCAGGCAUUUUGUACUUUCUAGUUCAGAAAGGGCAGACUUUUCUUCUCUAGCUCCUGUCUUAGGCUAUUGUAUAGAGCAGUGAUUUGGAAAUGACAGUGGGUCAGGCCCUAGAUGAAAAUAAUUGCAGGGCCUUGGGGGAAGAGAUUUGCAAUGUAAAUAGAAAUCUUUCUUGACUGGAAAAAAAAAACCCUCUCAUUUUGUGCAUUUAGGAGAGAUAGAAUUCAAACACAUGUAUAUACAAA